Octodon degus (degu) is the source of this 113-nucleotide long non-coding RNA. RefSeq lists it as uncharacterized. Lineage: Eukaryota; Metazoa; Chordata; Mammalia; Rodentia; Octodontidae. The record is from RefSeq and is a predicted model, not a curated record. The transcript is spliced from 3 exons.
UUUUUUGGCAGAACUGGGGAUUGAACUCAAGCCCUUGCACUUGCCAGGGUAGUGCUUAUUCCACAGAGCCAUGCCCCUGGCCCUUAUAUUUCAUUUUUGCUAAAGAAAACCAC